GCUAGGACAUUCAAAUCUCAACCAACAACAUCCAAAAAAGCUUGUAGUUAGUGAUGUUCAAGCACAUUUUCGUUCGAUUUUCAAAGAAUUUCAAUCUCAAAAAUUGUAAAGGUAAGUAAACUACUUGUUUUAUGCAUUUUCGAGCCGAUUUAUUGUCAAAUUUGAGUUCUUAGCUCGUUCCUUCAUCAAGUUACAUGCAUGUGUUAAAUUUGCUCAAGUUAGGGUUUUGGAGAUGCUAAUUCGAAGCUAAGUUUCAGCUAAUUGUUCGUAAAACUAUCUUGAUCUAUUAUCAACUUAAUUUUGAUGAGAUUUUAAGAGAAUUUUUGAUAUUUUUGGCGUAAUUUUGGUUUAUAGGUAGCUCGUGUCUCUGUUGGAGUGGUUUAUGGCAACAUGAAGCUCAAAGUUCUGAAGCUCGAUUGAAGUUGGGGAUGACCUAGAUGUUUGCUACAACAUGCACACAAGAGCUCAAAAAGAGUGCAAGAGAGAACUUUGAACCUAUACAAGACGGAUCACCAACAAUGACUCAACUGUUUGAAAAUCCAGAAGUGUUGAAGCAAAUUGAUGAGAUCGAGAAGCUACUACAAACAAUUGAGAAAGCAAUUGCAGACAUGCCCUCAUUUGACUUGGGUAUACUUGGGCUCCACGACAUACCACAACCACAAAACACAACAACCUCAAAUUCCCACCAAGCAAGCAGAUGAAGCUAAUCAAACGUUUUGCAGGAGAUCGAAAAGACACCAACACGUACCAAACACAACCAUUGUAGUUUUGCAAAAGUUGCGAAAACCAUCUCCACUGAAGCAAAACUCUCAUGUGAAGGAAUCCGGACCAUUGUAGUAGAACUUUAUGUAAUUAGUAGAAGUACAAACAAAACAAUUACCACUGGUUUGUUAUAUGCAAUAUUAUGCUAGAGCGGUACUGAACUUUAUGUUCUAUUUACAAGUUAUGUUGAUUAGUAAGUUUUAUGUUCUUAAGUGACUAUUAUAUGUCAAUUAGAGACCAUGAUAUGCCAAUUAGUCACUAUUUUAUGUUGACUUUAGAUUUCUUCAA
Molecule: long non-coding RNA, 1050 nt
Organism: Beta vulgaris subsp. vulgaris (sugar beet)
Lineage: Eukaryota; Viridiplantae; Streptophyta; Magnoliopsida; Caryophyllales; Amaranthaceae
Exons: 2
Source: RefSeq, a predicted model, not a curated record